AACGAACGCUGGCGGCAGGCCUAACACAUGCAAGUCGAACGAAGUCUUCGGACUUAGUGGCGCACGGGUGAGUAACACGUGGGAAUAUACCUUACGCUGGGGGAUAACAUCGGGAAACUGAUGCUAAUACCGCAUACGCCCUUCGGGGGAAAGAUUUAUCGGCGAAAGAUUAGCCCGCGUCCGAUUAGCUAGUUGGUGAGGUAAUGGCUCACCAAGGCUCCGAUCGGUAGCUGGUCUGAGAGGAUGACCAGCCACACUGGGACUGAGACACGGCCCAGACUCCUACGGGAGGCAGCAGUGGGGAAUAUUGGACAAUGGGCGCAAGCCUGAUCCAGCCAGGCCGCGUGAGUGAUGAAGGCCUUAGGGUUGUAAAGCUCUUUCACCCACGACGAUGAUGACGGUAGUGGGAGAAGAAGCCCCGGCUAACUUCGU
This 432-nucleotide ribosomal RNA is filed under the name uncultured bacterium. RNAcentral's name for it is "partial 16S ribosomal RNA". It matches the Rfam family "Bacterial small subunit ribosomal RNA", at positions 29 to 506 of the family's 1533-position model. The record is from RNAcentral.